AUGUAAAAGUGCUUCUUUGAGCCCGCUUGUGCACCUCUGGGCGGACUGGCAGCGAUGCAGAUUCAUCCCAUCCGGCUGCCUUAAAGCUCCUGAGUGAUUCAUUGCAUCUGUCAAUCUGCAGGUCAUGAAAAUCAAGGCAUCCAGCCUCCUCAGAGCUAUUGCUGUACACCCAGCUCCAAAUAGAGAGCGACCACGUGGGAACAAUCUGUUUGUAUGACUUUGCAUUGAUUUGUUUGACAGAUGAAGCAGCUGCACAAUUUGCAUCCCCGCAUCGGAGUUGCCUUGGAGAAAGACUGUGUCUUUGUGAAGUCAUGCCAAAUGUUAUUUUAUCUGGUGGUUUUCUUAAUGUUUGUCUGUUUUCAACAGCAUUUUCUGACGAGUGGAAUUUAUGUGAAAUAAUUGCAAUGCACACAUCGCAUCCUUACACACUACAUGCAAUGAUCAAAAAAGUAACAUUUGUCCAUUUUGAUUAUGAAUGUUUUUUUUUUUUUUUUGUCUGUAUGUGCACUGUGAUUGGCUGGUGGAGAGCCUGGGAUGCAUCUCCAGAUCACCCUUCACCCAUGCACUAGUGCAAAGGGAAUAGAAAAGCAAUGAAUGGACAUUACAAGACUUUUCAAAUGUAUUGUCAGUAUAUGUAUAACACAAACCCCAACUGCAAUCAAGUUGGGACAUUGUGUAAAAUGGGAAUAAAUACAAU
Hippocampus zosterae (dwarf seahorse) is the source of this 697-nucleotide long non-coding RNA. RefSeq lists it as uncharacterized. NCBI's taxonomy places the organism in Eukaryota, Metazoa, Chordata, Actinopteri, Syngnathiformes, Syngnathidae. The transcript is spliced from 2 exons. The record is from RefSeq and is a predicted model, not a curated record.